GUGCAUUGCCCUCAGUGGCCACGCGUCUAUCAUCGCCGGUCCUUCUUCUUCGAUUUCUUCGUUGGUUUUUUUUUUCCGUUUGCCUCUUUCCCUCCAUUCUUUGCUUUUUCUUUUCGUUCGCCUCUCUCUCUGCUUCCUCAGUUUCUGCAAAUUGUCGAACGUAGCUUUUUUUCUCUUCCACGCCGGUGUUGUUCUUGCUGUCCACACUUAGCAAGUUUCUCCAUCUGAUUAUUCAGCUUCGUUAUUUUUCCCGAAAAAUUGCUCAAUUCGUGAAUGGUUUAGGGGCUACAGAUUUCUGCCUUUUUCAAUUCGAUUGAAAUCCAUUUUUCUUUGCGUAGUCUAACGUGUUCUGGAAACGCUUCUGCUCCAAUUUUGGGCUUUCGUCUGCAGGAAAUGCUUCUUCUCCAAUUUUGGGGCUUUCGUCCACAAUUUUGCAAGCCCAUUGUGUUGAAGGAUUUGGAGGCUCCUGCUUGGGAACUCAGAAACCUUUUUUAAUCUUUCCAGCAAUGGAGCUUGCAUUGUCGCUUGAGAAAUCGACAAAUGAAAAGCUCUGCUCAACUUGCAGUGUAAAAUGAUAAGGUUUAGGUGAUUAUAUUUUGUACCUGUAACAUCGUUUAGUUCGUGUUAUAAAUUAACAAUCUUAUUAUGCUAUGUUCAUCUUCGAAUUUACGACUAACAGGUUGUUGAGAAGAACAAAGAUGUGUAGUUCGUAGGUGGAAGCCAUCAAGAAAAUAUCUGAAUAUGUUGCUCAACUAUAGAUAAUUGGCGAAGAACACGAUUAGUGACAUGGAGCACACUCAGUGGAGCCAUUUACCACUACUGGUGUCCCUACUGAUUUAUUACCAUAUACCAAUCCAAGUCCAAACUGAUCACAAAUAAGAAAUGUACUUUACUUACUUUCGAAGGCUAAAGUGAUUUAUAAAUGUGAUCCAAAAUGUGGUUGUGGCAUUUCUUGCGUCAAUCGUUCUCCUCAGAGAGGGCUGAAGUAUCGUUUUAAGGGAUCGGACCACAAAAAUUUAUCUUCAGUGCUUCAUAAAGCUUUAGAGGGUGCAAUCAUAUUUGAAACUUUCCCCAAGACUAUUAUGGAUGUUUUUGCAUUGGUGUUGGAAUCUAUGAGCAUUUGGUUACUUUACAGGAAAGCUUAUAUGAAUUUUUAAUCGAUGAAUUCCAGUUUCCAACACUUCAUUUUCUUCAAUUACAGGUAUUUGAAUUUUACAUGUCUAAAUUUUGUUCUCCAAUAAUUUUUAAGAUCAGUAGAUCUGUUGAAUUUGAUAAUAUUAUUCAACAAUGUGGUCAUCUAUUCAAACUGCAUUACAAAAUUUAAUAUGCAGAAUUAAGCAUUGUAAGUUUGAUCUUUUUCUUCUGAGUGAUGUAUUUCAGAUACUGCCUUCUCCAACUAAACUCUUGAAAAGCUUUUCUAUAAAAUUUAUAGUUGUUUAAAGUGUUGUAUCCAUCUUUGCAAUUAGUCUCAUAAAUUAUACCAAAUUUGUUAAUUCUUUAGCAAAAUAAGCAAAUCAUUUUAAUUUGUUUAGGUCAGAUCAUAUGAAUUUUGAGGUUACUAUUUUGAUUGUGUAAUUACCCAUGUUUCUAACAUUGCAUUCCUUUUUUUGUAAUAAAUUUGUUUCGUUUUUAGUUCUAAAAUGUAGUUUACAAAGGAAAAUCCAUGCGUUUCUAAUCUACACAAGUCAAAAGUUAAAGAUCAUUUUGACAAAAAAAAAAAGGUUAAAGAUCAAGAAGAAUUGAUGAAAGAAGCAGUAAGCAUUUUACAAGCGACUCUCAGUUUUUAUUCAACAAUCCAGGCGUCCCAUGUUUCUCCUCCCUGGUUUGGUAAAGUAGAAACUUAUAGUUUGUCUUACAUUUAACAGAGAGACGUUAUGUGAAUAUAUCACAAUAUCAGUAAUUUUUUUGUAUGUUUUGUGAAUUUGUUGAUAUUCUAGCAGGAAUUGCAAUGGUGGAAGGGAACAAACAUAAAGUUAGUGUUAUUUCAGCCAAAAGCCUUAUUCUCACAACAUUGAGUACGAUUGCUUAGACUUUCAAUUCAUUGUACCUAAAUUGAAACAAUUCUUUACUUUACAUAUGUCAAAUAUAAUCUUUUAUACAA
This is a non-coding RNA of Malus domestica (apple), 2101 nucleotides long. The record is from RefSeq and is a predicted model, not a curated record. Lineage: Eukaryota; Viridiplantae; Streptophyta; Magnoliopsida; Rosales; Rosaceae.